RNAcentral lists this unclassified non-coding RNA (1261 nucleotides) under Hevea brasiliensis (rubber tree). Lineage: Eukaryota; Viridiplantae; Streptophyta; Magnoliopsida; Malpighiales; Euphorbiaceae. The record is from RNAcentral.
AUUUGAUUUAACAUAUACAGCAAAAUCCAUUUUAUCGAUUUGAUUUGACAAAACCAGUCCAUAUACAGCACUGCCUUUUCUCACGAAUUCGUCUUCUACUCCAUAUUUCAAUUGCCACGCCUUCCAUAUCCUUAAUUUCUUCCCUUUGUUCACCAACCCCAUUCCAUCACCACCACAAUAAAUUUUUCUCAUCAUGGCUACCAUGAUUCCCAACCAUGUUAAAGGAGCGUAAGAGAUAUUAAAUUUGGAGAACCUCAUGAAACAAGUUUAGAGCAAGAAAGCUCUAACAAAGGUGAACAUUUUGCUGGUUGAGAAUGCAGAAGGGGAAACUGAUUUCUACUGGAAAUAUAGGUGUUUAGUCCAAUUUAAUUUCAAGAGCUAAUUGUUCUAUACAGGAAUAGAUUACAGAAAUCAACCACCCAUGAAUUAUUUCACAAAGACCUAAUUCCUUUUCAGCAUGUUAUAAUUAACAUCUGUCCUAAAGAGAACGUAGUUUUGUGGGUGACAGAAACAGCUCUAAGCAACACUCACAACAUUUACCUGCAACACAUAUACAUGCUCACAUAUAAACAUGCUAGCUGGUUGAAUUUUUAAUUCCUAAUUUUGCAACAUAUAAUUCCCAACAAUUGAAGUUUUUUCACAUACAUUACACCCUCUGGCUGAAAUUUGAGAAGGCAGGAUGAGGAUGGGGCUGCCCAUUGAGAGUCUGGUUGUUGGUGGAUGGCUGCGGCACGUGCUGCUGCUGGGCUGGGGAACUUCCAAAGUGAUGCAGGGCUGGCUGAUGGGAGGAGAAUUGUGGAGUCAAACCUCGAUUGAAGGGGUUUCCAUUGACGGCUGGUAUUUGGCCAGUUGCUAUCUUAAGCCGCUGCACCUCUUCCCUCAAUGCAUCAUUCAGAGCAUCUCUAAGUUGUGCUUGUUGCUCCAUAGCCUGUAAUCGCAGCUUCAGUUCCUUAUUUUCAGCUGUUAACCCAGUAGUGUCUCUCUGCAACAUUGUGACCUGUGCAGAGAGGGUGGUUGCUUCUGUCUGAAGUGUCUGUACCUUCCUCUCCAGCUCAUUAGUGUAUCGUACUUUCCUCUCCUUUGACCGUGCUGCAGAUUGCCUGUUAGCAAGAAUCCUCUUAGCUCUCUUGGGAUCAAUCAAAGCAAGCUCAGCAAGUCUAUCAGGACCGAUAGCUUUCUUAACGCCAUCGACCAUAACAGAAUCUAUCUCAAACGAGGUCGUACUCGACCCAUCCAUUGAAUUGCUAUGCCUAUGGUGUAA